ACUUGGAACCGGGAGAGGUAAGAGGUACUACAGGGGUAGGAGUGAAAUCUUGUAAUCCCUGUGGGACCACCUGUGGCGAAGGCGUCUUACCAGAACGGGUUCGACGGUGAGGGACGAAAGCUGGGGGCACGAACCGGAUUAGAUACCCGGGUAGUCCCAGCCGUAAACGAUGCUCGCUAGGUGUCAGGCAUGGCGCGACCGUGUCUGGUGCCGCAGGGAAGCCGUGAAGCGAGCCACCUGGGAAGUACGGCCGCAAGGCUGAAACUUAAAGGAAUUGGCGGGGGAGCACAACAACGGGUGGAGCCCUGCGGUUUAAUUGGACUCAACGCCGGACAACUCACCGGGGGCGACAGCAAUAUGUAGGCCAAGCUGAAGACUUUGCCUGAAUCGCUGAGGAGAGGUGCAUGG
Molecule: ribosomal RNA, 408 nt
Filed under: uncultured archaeon
Lineage: Archaea
Description: bacterial SSU rRNA
Rfam family: Archaeal small subunit ribosomal RNA
Source: RNAcentral